This is a long non-coding RNA of Oenanthe melanoleuca, 430 nucleotides long. RefSeq lists it as uncharacterized. Lineage: Eukaryota; Metazoa; Chordata; Aves; Passeriformes; Muscicapidae. The transcript is spliced from 4 exons. The record is from RefSeq and is a predicted model, not a curated record.
UCAGCCUGGAUACAGGCCACUGACAGCCCAAAAGCACCCCAAGGAAUAGUUGGCGUUUCCUGGUGAUGGCAGCACGGGCUGCGUGCAGAGGGGCUCAGACAGCAAUUCCUGGUUCCAGCCUCCCAGAGCUCCCAGGCAGCUGCCAGCUAUUAAAUGCCAACCGACAGCCUGCAGAGAUGCCUUAAAAUCAAAGGUUCAGGUGGGAUGAAGUUUUGUUUGGAUGAAGGUGGGAGUUUCCAGGGAUCCAGCUGGAAGUGCAGGAGGGAUGGAAAGCUUUCCCAACUUGUAAAACUUAUCCUGGAAUUCAGAAGCAGGGUUGGCUCUGACCUUCACCUCUGAUCCCACUUUGUGCAAACAACACUUGUGCCAGGGUGCUGGACUUGCCUCUGUGGAUGUGUUGCUGAGCUCUCACUGCAGGGGAUUGUCAGGC